This 498-nucleotide ribosomal RNA is filed under the name uncultured bacterium. RNAcentral's name for it is "partial 16S ribosomal RNA". It matches the Rfam family "Bacterial small subunit ribosomal RNA", at positions 28 to 506 of the family's 1533-position model. The record is from RNAcentral.
GACGAACGCUGGCGGCAUGCUUAACACAUGCAAGUCGAACGGGCCCGCUCUCUUUUUUGGGGGUGGGUUGAGUGGCGAACGGGUGAGUAUCACGUGAGUAACCUGCCCCCUGCUCCUGGAUAACUGCUUGAAAGGGCGGCUAAUACGGGGUGUGCCGGCUGGUCCGCAUGGGCCUGGUCGGGAUAGUUUCAUCUUCGGGUGUUUCGGUGGGGGAUGGGCUCGCGGCCUAUCAGCUUGUUGGUGGGGUGAUGGCCCACCAAGGCGGUGACGGGUAGCCGGCCUGAGAGGGUGGGCGGCCACACUGGGACUGAGACACGGCCCAGACUCCUGCGGGAGGCAGCAGUGGGGGGUAUUGCACAAUGGGCGGAAGCCUGAUGCAGCGACGUCGCGUGAGGGAUGGAGGCCUUCGGGUUGUGAACCUCUUUCUCCGGUGGUGAAGGCCCUGUCCGUUGCGGCGGGGUUGACGGUAGCCGGGUAUGAAGCGCCGGCUAACUACGU